RNAcentral lists this small RNA (1500 nucleotides) under uncultured marine bacterium. Its description in RNAcentral is "bacterial SSU rRNA". The stretch from base 1 to 994 matches the Rfam family "Bacterial small subunit ribosomal RNA", at positions 528 to 1533 of the family's 1533-position model. The record is from RNAcentral.
AAGGGACCUAGCGUAGUUCGGAAUUACUGGGCUUAAAGAGUUCGUAGGUGGUUAAAAUAGUUGGUGGUGAAAUCCCAGAGCUUAACUCUGGAACUGCCAUCAAAACUUUUUAGCUAGAGUAUGAUAGAGGAAAGUAGAAUUUCUAGUGUAGAGGUGAAAUUCGUAGAUAUUAGAAAGAAUACCGAUUGCGAAGGCAGCUUUCUGGAUCAUUACUGACACUGAGGAACGAAAGCAUGGGUAGCGAAGAGGAUUAGAUACCCUCGAAGUCCAUGCCGUAACCGAUGUGUGAUAGACGUUGGAAAUUUAUUUUCAGUGUCGCAGCGAAAGCAAUAAACACACCGCCUGGGGAGUACGACCGCAAGGUUAAAACUCAAAUGAAUUGACGGGGACCCGCACAAGUAGUGGAGCAUGUGGUUUAAUUCGAAGAUACGCGCAGAACCUUACCAACACUUGACAUGUUCGUCGCGACUCUAAGAGAUUAGAGUUUUCGGUUCGGCCGGACGAGACACAGGUGCUGCAUGGCUGUCGUCAGCUCGUGUCGUGAGAUGUUGGGUUAAGUCCCGCUACGAGCGCAACCCUCACUUUUAGUUGCCAUCAUUAAGUUGGGCACUCUGAAAGAACUGCCAGUGAUAAGCUGGAGGAAGGUGGGGAUGACGUCAAGUCCUCAUGGCCCUUACGUGUUGGGCUACACACGUGCUACAAUGGCAUCUACAACAGGAAGCAAAACGGCAACAUUAAGCAAAUCCCGAAAAGAUGCCUCAGUUCGGAUUGCACUCUGCAACUCGAGUGCAUGAAGCUGGAAUUACUAGUAAUCGUGGAUCAGCGUGCCACGGUGAAUACGUUCCCGGGUCUUGUACACACCGCCCGUCACACCAUGGGAGUUGGUUCUACCUUAAGGCAAGGUUUUAAACCCUUGACCACGGUAUAGUCAGCGACUGGGGUGAAGUCGUAACAAGGUAGCCGUAGGGGAACCUGCGGCUGGAUUACCUCCUUUCUAAGGAUGAAUGAAAGUAAAAUUUCAUUCUAAAUAAUAUACAUCGGUAAUGUUGACCGUCCUCAUUUCUCUUCUUAAAGUAAUGUUUCCUUCUUGUAGGGCCGGUAGCUCAGUUGGUUAGAGCACACCCUUGAUAAGGGUGGGGUCGAAAGUUCGAGUCUUUCUCGGCCCACCAAUCUUAACUGGGGGAUUAGCUCAUCUGGGAGAGCGCCUGAUUUGCAUUCAGGAGGUAGCAGGUUCGAUCCCUGUAUCCUCCACCAGGAAACAUUUAGUUAUUAAAACUGUAAAUAAAAAUAAUUUAUAUCAAUAUCUAUAUCCGAACAUUAAAAGUUAUUAUUUAAUGUUCAAAAUAAAAAUUUGAUCACAUCACAGAAAAGUUUUUUUCUGUGCAUAAAUCAAGCGUUUAAGGGCGUGUGGCGGAUGCCUUGGCACUGAAAGCCGAUGAAGGACGUGAUAUACUGCGAUAAGUUUCGGGGAGCUGUAUGUAAGUUUUGAUCCGAAAAUUU